CAGCCGCCGCGGGAAUACGGAGGGAGCUAGCGUUGUUCGGAAUUACUGGGCGUAAAGCGCACGUAGGCGGUUAUUCAAGUCAGAGGUGAAAGCCCGGGGCUCAACCCCGGAACUGCCUUUGAAACUAGAUGACUAGAAUCUUGGAGAGGUCAGUGGAAUUCCGAGUGUAGAGGUGAAAUUCGUAGAUAUUCGGAAGAACACCAGUGGCGAAGGCGACUGACUGGACAAGUAUUGACGCUGAGGUGCGAAAGCGUGGGGAGCAAACAGGAUUAGAUACCCGCGUAGUCCCUGUCUCUUAUAC
Molecule: ribosomal RNA, 301 nt
Filed under: uncultured bacterium
Lineage: Bacteria
Description: partial 16S ribosomal RNA
Rfam family: Bacterial small subunit ribosomal RNA
Source: RNAcentral